This 562-nucleotide ribosomal RNA is filed under the name uncultured bacterium. Its description in RNAcentral is "bacterial SSU rRNA". It matches the Rfam family "Bacterial small subunit ribosomal RNA", at positions 338 to 916 of the family's 1533-position model. The record is from RNAcentral.
CCUACGGGAGGCAGCAGUAGGGAAUCUUGUGCAAUGGGCGAAAGCCUGACACAGCAACUCCGCGUGCGGGAAGAAGGCCUUAGGGUUGUAAACCGCUUUUGGCAGGAACGAAAAUGACGGUACCUGCAGAAUAAGGUGCGGCCAACUACGUGCCAGCAGCCGCGGUGACACGUAGGCACCAAGCGUUGUCCGGAUUUAUUGGGCGUAAAGAGCUCGUAGGCGGUUCAGUUAGUCGGGUGUGAAAACUCUGGGCUUAACCCGGAGACGCCACUCGAUACUGCUGGGCUAGAAUUCGGUAGGGGAGUGGGGAAUUCCUGGUGUAGCGGUGAAAUGCGCAGAUAUCAGGAGGAACACCGGUGGCGAAGGCGCCACUCUGGGCCGACAUUGACGCUGAGGAGCGAAAGCGUGGGUAGCAAACAGGAUUAGAUACCCUGGUAGUCCACGCCGUAAACGGUGGGCACUAGGUGUGGGUUCCAACCAACGGAAUCCGUGCCGUCGCAAACGCAUUAAGUGCCCCGCCUGGGGAGUACGGCCGCAAGGUUAAACCUUAAGGAAUUGACGG